AUGAUGCAGCAAAAAAAAAGUCAUGGCCUCGCUGUCGUAGCCGCUCCAACACCAUCCUCGGCGAUUGCAGCAGGUCAAAAAGAUGGUUCCAGCAAAAAUCCUAUGCAGCAAAAAACAUGGCACCCCGCCGUCGUGGCCGCCCAGCACUAUCCUCUCCUGUUGCAGCAAAUCGAGAAACUGAUUCCAGCAAAAAUCAAAAAAGGCAGCAACUUACCACAGCCCACCACUGUCGCCACUCACCACCAUCCUCGCCGGUUGAAGCAAAUCCCCGCGUCGGUUGCAGCAAAUCCCCAUGUCGGUUCCAGCAUCGCAUCUCACCGGUCGAACGUGUUACCUCGGACAUCGUCGCCAGUCAGAGGACGCAACAGGCUCCGCCACAGGACGGACUCUCCACGGCCUCGCAUCCAUGGGCCCGGCUCGCCGUGGCCGUGGGCGCAGAUCACCACGGUGGUGUUUGGUGGAGCAGCCAUGGAAGAGAUAUAA
RNAcentral lists this ribosomal RNA (483 nucleotides) under Triticum aestivum (bread wheat). RNAcentral describes it as "partial small subunit ribosomal RNA". The record is from RNAcentral. Lineage: Eukaryota; Viridiplantae; Streptophyta; Magnoliopsida; Poales; Poaceae.